This is a long non-coding RNA of Esox lucius (northern pike), 933 nucleotides long. RefSeq lists it as uncharacterized. The record is from RefSeq and is a predicted model, not a curated record. Lineage: Eukaryota; Metazoa; Chordata; Actinopteri; Esociformes; Esocidae. The transcript has 4 exons.
AUUGGAGCUAGGAGUAGUACAGUAGUAAACCCCCUUUUUUGUUAUAGUUUCACCUGUAGUGUCAGUGGUGUUGAUUCAUAGAGUUUUAGAUUAAUUUGAAAACAGUUUUCAGUUUGCUGAAUUGUCCUUGCAUUUCCCUUGGCCUCCUGUUCACCUACUUGGUUGAAACCAAAAGACUGAAUACAGCAAGAGUUAUUUUAAAGUGGACUUUUUAUUUUUUUUAUUUAUAAUCAAAAAUUCCUGGAUGUAUUUUUCAUUUUUGUUGUUGCUUUUUUUGGACAAGUUGUUUGUUUGAGAUCUUAGUUAUCGUGUUUUCAUGAAGAACAUUUAUUUUUUAAAUGGCGAUGUCAUUGGCUUUCCAGUGUUUUUUGGACUCUGACAACGGUGAUGCAAAUGUGUGAUUUCCAAAGCAGCAGAGCUGUAUCAUCUGUUCUGUGAAUACAUCCUGGACUGAUCUGCUUCAACCUCAGUGAAAGUUUCAACAAGUGAACCUCAAAUCACAGAUUACUGCAAUUAGAAUAUUGGUGAAGACACCACCUGUGUCAGGAGCAGCAGCAUGACAGGAAAAACUCUGUCAUAAAAGAUUUCCUGUUUACCACACUGGAGGGAUAUGUUGGUUGUCUUUGAACUGCAUGCCAUGGGAGGAUUGACCUGGAUCUUUACCCAGAACAUCCUUCACCAGCCUUUUGACAGUAGAAGUGAAAUCAGAGGAAACAAACCUGCUGGUGAAGAGAAACCGCAUCGUCUUUAAAGCAUUUCAACAUUGUGUUCCCAGAGGCAACUCAUUUGUUUGGGGAUGUAACGCUGUUUUCUUGACUUGACAAACUUCUUGUCAAGUCAAGAAGUAAAUAAACUCAACUCAGAUCUGAGUUGCAUGCAUUCAGCAACGUAACUUGUUGCAAAGUCCAGUGGCAACUCAUGCAGAUCAACCAU